Long non-coding RNA from Lepidothrix coronata (blue-crowned manakin), 1140 nucleotides. RefSeq lists it as uncharacterized. The transcript is spliced from 3 exons. NCBI's taxonomy places the organism in Eukaryota, Metazoa, Chordata, Aves, Passeriformes, Pipridae. The record is from RefSeq and is a predicted model, not a curated record.
CUACGCAGUCGUCUUCCAGCAGAACUGCCCAGGAGGGCCCACGGAAAAUGGAGCGGCUUUUAUCCCACGCACUCGGCACUGGAUCUCUGGAAGGGGAUUCCACACUUUCUGGACUUGGAUUGAUCUUUUUGCACUGUCCCACCCCGAUGGAAAGGGAAAAGCUUUGCCACCAGCCCUGAGGUGAGGACACCCCAGCAUGGAUCUGUGAUUCACACCAGAACAUUUGUGCAAUAAGAAGGAACAAUGGCCCAGCUCCAUUUCUUGUGUAGUCUGCAACUUCCUAACGCGUCUGACACACUGGGAACCCACGCGCAACACGGUGAUGGAAAACUUGGAGACCAAAUGGAAGUGAGGAAAAGCCCUUGGUGUAAUUUUACAGCGUGUGAAAGACUUAAAGCAAGAAACACAGCCAGAUGCCACAAGGAAAGUACUUUCAAUUAGUUCUGCUUUGUGUUAUACCUGCUGAUGAAAAAUAAAAACAAAUUCAUUCUGUCAACAGCUCUAUCUAUAGCAUAAUCCUUAAAUGAACUCAUCCGUCAAACCGGUCUCCUCUGGCAAAACAUAUUACAAUCCCUGUUUCUCAGCUGUGGGAAUCAAUCAUCUCUUUCCCAAACCCAUUGGUCAACAUCUUAAGAACCCAAUAUAUUUUUAUUGCGCUGAACAAGCCAGUCACAGGGCACUAACCUCACCACACCACCUAUGUACAAAGGCCUCAUGUAUUAGCAGAUUCGGUGAUUCCAGAGGAGCUAUUUCCCCGUAGAGGUUACAUGGUAAAUAUGCCUGAUCUGGAAUAAAUGCAAACCUCAGCCUUCUUGCCCCAGCAGCGUAUGUGGGAUGUGCUGCUGCUCACAGCUGGGCAAAGCAAGAGCACCGAGGAACAAACCAGAUUUUUUCUGGGUGGACAGUUCAGGGAGUGAUGUUUGAACCAGGAGACACAGAGACACAGACUUGCACUUUUCAUCAGCCAAAGCUGAUGGCUCUGUUGAAGCUGUGACAGAACCACCCCACCAAAGUGCUGGCAGCAUUCAGAAGCAUUUGCAGUAUUUCUGAGUGGCAAAUGUUCCCCAUCCUCCAUGCAGGAGGACCUUGAAGGGGGGUGAUCUCUUCCCAGUGCUCUGAAGCUUGCUACUGCUCAAGAGC